This 964-nucleotide long non-coding RNA is filed under the name Populus trichocarpa (black cottonwood). RNAcentral describes it as "long non-coding RNA (PTRI_LNC002506)". Lineage: Eukaryota; Viridiplantae; Streptophyta; Magnoliopsida; Malpighiales; Salicaceae. The record is from RNAcentral.
GACUCUAUAUUACUUUUUUUACACUGAUUAAACCAUCGGACAGUUACUCCGAAGAAGGAACUCCGCCUUGUUUUGCAGGAUCGGAGCCUCACUAUCCCAUUUCUUUUUCUGCCACGUGACCUCUCGCAACAUGCUCAGGUACUGAAAUCCAGGGGAUCGAUAGAUUAUAGGAGAAAUACCACAGGAACAGGAAAAAAAAAAGGAAAAAGAAAAAAUAUCGGGCUUUUAAUCCUUGGGGGGGAAUGAUAUAAUAAAAAACAAAAAAAGAUCGGAAAGAGAUUACUGUUUGAAAUACUGAAGCAUCAGUAAAUUGGCAAUGCCCUUUCCUCAAACGAAUUAAACUUUCUAAACUCAAAUAUAUCAACCGAGAAACGCAUUCUUCAGAAAUCCUAAAAGGUCCCGUGGAUCAAACAAGCUGAUCCUCCAUUCAUAAGCUGCAGGAGGAGACAGUGAUCAUGAAUAUUGUUUUGCUUUUGCAUGCAUGUAAGGCAAAAAGUCAAUAAAUCUAAGAUCAUUAAAGAAAAAGGAAUAUAUAUAGAAGAAAAGGGACAAGAGGAGGGAAGACGGUUUGUCUUUCAUGGUGUCCUUAUUGUGGUGCCGGCAAGGAUUCUUCACGGUGCGAGUGGAACCCAUAAGAAGGAUGGGAUUUGCGUCAUUCUGCGGCUCCUUUCAAUGUGUCACUGCAUCGUGGGACACAGGGAAUCCUUGCAAACCGCAAAAUGUCUCUCCCUUUAGAUAAGAUGACCCACCAUCACAAUUCUAAUUCUCUUAUUUAUUUUAUCAGCUCAUUUCUCUCCUUACUAUCAUGCCAAUCAAUGGUUUUCAUUCCAAAGGACGUGCCUCUUUUCACAAUUUAAUCAAUUUUUUUAUUGAAGAAAGGUGUGGAGUGCAUCCAUGAAAGAAUAUCAAGUAGACCCCCCAAGGGAAAUGACCUCUGGUGUCACAUCCAUCCUGAAAAUAAGAA